UACGGAGGGAGCUAGCGUUUUUCGGAAUUACUGGGCGUAAAGCGCACGUAGGCGGCUUUUUAAGUCAGGGGUGAAAUCCCGGGGCUCAACCCCGGAACUGCCCUUGAAACUGGGAAGCUAGAAUCUUGGAGAGGCGAGUGGAAUUCCGAGUGUAGAGGUGAAAUUCGUAGAUAUUCGGAAGAACACCAGUGACGAAGGCGACUCGCUGGACAAGUAUUGACGCUGAGGUGCGAAAGCGUGGGGAGCAAACAGG
Molecule: ribosomal RNA, 253 nt
Filed under: uncultured bacterium
Lineage: Bacteria
Description: partial 16S ribosomal RNA
Rfam family: Bacterial small subunit ribosomal RNA
Source: RNAcentral